UCCCAGGGAGAGAAACAGUCACAUAUCCAAUCUCUCUUCCUAGUUCCAGGGCCUGUGAACCCAGUGGGGCUGGCUAGGGGAGAGCUGGGAAGUUCCAGAAGGAACUGAGAGAU
This is a small nucleolar RNA of Phyllostomus hastatus (greater spear-nosed bat), 113 nucleotides long. RefSeq annotates it as small nucleolar RNA SNORD22. The transcript has a single exon. The record is from RefSeq and is a predicted model, not a curated record. Lineage: Eukaryota; Metazoa; Chordata; Mammalia; Chiroptera; Phyllostomidae.